This 113-nucleotide small nucleolar RNA is filed under the name Echinops telfairi (small Madagascar hedgehog). Its description in RNAcentral is "Small nucleolar RNA SNORA61 (ENSETEG00000025002.1)". The record is from RNAcentral. Lineage: Eukaryota; Metazoa; Chordata; Mammalia; Afrosoricida; Tenrecidae.
AAACUCUCCAGUUUCCUUAUCUAAACCCUGGUAUGAGUGCUUACAAAAAAGGUCAAAGUAAAAUUGAAACUGACUUCAAUGUUUUGUGACAAAUGAGCUAGUUUCAAUCAAUA